This 906-nucleotide long non-coding RNA is filed under the name Anas platyrhynchos platyrhynchos (common mallard). Its description in RNAcentral is "lncRNA (ENSAPLG00000030700.1)". The record is from RNAcentral. Lineage: Eukaryota; Metazoa; Chordata; Aves; Anseriformes; Anatidae.
AUUGACCCCAAAUGUCCCCAAAUGUCCCCAAUGUCCCCCAUUGACCCCAAAUGUCCCCAAAUGUCCCCAAUGUCCCUAUUACCCUUAUUGUCCCCAAAUGUCCCUAUUGUCCCCAAUGUCCCCGUUACCCCAAUAUUCCCAUUACCCCAAUUACCCCCAACACCCCCAAUGUCCCCAACACCCUAAACGUCCCCAAAUGUCCCCAAAUGUCCCCAAAUGUCCCCAAAUGUCCCCAAUGUCCCCAAAUGUCCCCAAAUGUCCCCAUUACCCCAAUUACCCCCAUUACCCCAAAUGUCCCAAAUGUCCCCAAUUGUCCCCAUUACCCUUAUUGUCCCCAGAUGUCCCCAUUACCCCAAUUACCCCCAACACCCCCAAAUGUCCCCAUUGUCCCCAUUGUCCCUAAAUGUCCCCAAUUGUCCCCAAAUGUCCCCAAAUGUCCCCAUUGUCCCCAAAUGUCCCCAUUGUCCCCAAAUGUCCCCAAAUGUCCCCAAAUGUCCCCAAUGUCCCCAAAUGUCCCCAAAUGUCCCCAAUGUCCCCAUUACCCCCAAUGUCCCCAAUUAUCCCCAAUUGUCCCCAUUGCCCUAAAUGUCCCCAAUGUCCCCAUUACCCUAAAUGUCCCCAAAUGUCCCCAAUGUCCCCAAAUGUCCCCAGUGUCCCCAUUACCCUUAUUGUCCCGAAUUGUCCCCAAAUGUCCCCCAUUGACCCUAAAUGUCCCCAAAUGUCCCCAACUGUCCCCCCCUUUUAUAGGGUGACUCGGGCGGCCCCCUGGCGUGCCGCGUGGGGGGCUGGUGGCUGCUGGCGGGGGUGGCCAGCUGGGGGCAGGGCUGCGGCCUCCCCUCCCGCCCGGGGGUCUACACCCGGCCCGGCGCCCACGCCGCCUGGAUCGCCGCCACCGUCCCCGAGGCC